ACUAUGUCGCCAGUUUUAGGUGCUCAGAAUUAUCGUCUUUAUUCUGAGUUAAACGGGAAACUGGUGCGACGAUUCGAUCUGACUCGCCUCUUCUAUUCCAGUGCUGCCCCCGCAACGGUAAGCAACCUAUCAUCAACAUCCCGCCACUGAGCGAAUCGCUUGGGAAGGCGUUGAUGAGAAUGUAAACGAAUUAACGUACAUUCAGGUUGUAAGCCCGGAUACCGGCCUAAUCAUGUUUUAGCUU
RNAcentral lists this non-coding RNA (244 nucleotides) under Bermanella marisrubri. RNAcentral also lists the same sequence under 1 other name. The record is from RNAcentral. Lineage: Bacteria; Pseudomonadati; Pseudomonadota; Gammaproteobacteria; Oceanospirillales; Oceanospirillaceae.